Molecule: ribosomal RNA, 428 nt
Filed under: uncultured bacterium
Lineage: Bacteria
Description: bacterial SSU rRNA
Rfam family: Bacterial small subunit ribosomal RNA
Source: RNAcentral
UGAGGAAUCUUGCGCAAUGGGGGAAACCCUGACGCAGCAACGCCGCGUGAGUGAGGAAGGCCUUCGGGUCGUAAAGCUCUGUCGGGUGGAAAGAAACGCAUGGGUGCUAAUACCAUCUAUGCUUGACGGUACCGCCAAAGGAAGCACCGGCUAACUCCGUGCCAGCAGCCGCGGUAAUACGGGGGUGCAAGCGUUGUUCGGAAUCAUUGGGCGUAAAGAGCGUGUAGGCGGCUGGAUAAGUCGGAUGUGAAAGCCUUGGGCUCAACCCAGGAAGUGCAUUUGAUACUGUCCUGCUAGAGUAGGGAAGAGGGAAGUGGAAUUCCUGGUGUAGAGGUGAAAUUCGUAGAUAUCAGGAGGAACACCGGUGGCGAAGGCGACUUCCUGGUCCUAUACUGACGCUGAGACGCGAGAGCGUGGGGAGCAAACAG